CCUACGGGUGGCAGCAGUGGGGAAUAUUGGACAAUGGGGGCAACCCUGAUCCAGCCAUGCCGCGUGUGUGAAGAAGGCCCUCGGGUUGUAAAGCACUUUCAGUGAGGAAGAACGCCUGGUGGUUAAUACCCAUCAGGAAAGACAUCACUCACAGAAGAAGCACCGGCUAACUCCGUGCCAGCAGCCGCGGUAAUACGGAGGGUGCGAGCGUUAAUCGGAAUUACUGGGCGUAAAGCGCGCGUAGGUGGCUUGAUAAGCCGGUUGUGAAAGCCCCGGGCUCAACCUGGGAACGGCAUCCGGAACUGUCAAGCUAGAGUGCAGGAGAGGAAGGUAGAAUUCCCGGUGUAGCGGUGAAAUGCGUAGAGAUCGGGAGGAAUACCAGUGGCGAAGGCGGCCUUCUGGACUGACACUGACACUGAGGUGCGAAAGCGUGGGAAGCAAACAGGAUUAGAUACCCUAGUAGUC
Molecule: ribosomal RNA, 465 nt
Filed under: Vreelandella stevensii
Lineage: Bacteria; Pseudomonadati; Pseudomonadota; Gammaproteobacteria; Oceanospirillales; Halomonadaceae
Description: partial 16S ribosomal RNA
Rfam family: Bacterial small subunit ribosomal RNA
Source: RNAcentral